GGUCUCGUCGUCUAGUGGCCAAGGACACCUGGUUCUCAUCCAGGAGAUCACGGGUUCGACUCCCGUCGAGACCGCAA
This 77-nucleotide transfer RNA is filed under the name Candidatus Berkelbacteria bacterium RIFCSPHIGHO2_01_FULL_50_36. Its description in RNAcentral is "tRNA-Glu". It matches the Rfam family "tRNA". Rfam says of the family: Transfer RNA (tRNA) molecules are approximately 80 nucleotides in length. Their secondary structure includes four short double-helical elements and three loops (D, anti-codon, and T loops). The record is from RNAcentral. Lineage: Bacteria; Candidatus Berkelbacteria. RNAcentral also lists the same sequence under 2 other names.